RNAcentral lists this ribosomal RNA (301 nucleotides) under uncultured bacterium. RNAcentral describes it as "partial 16S ribosomal RNA". It matches the Rfam family "Bacterial small subunit ribosomal RNA", at positions 509 to 809 of the family's 1533-position model. The record is from RNAcentral.
CAGUCGCCGCGGUAAUACGAAGGGGGCUAGCGUUGUUCGGAAUUACUGGGCGUAAAGCGCACGUAGGCGGAUAUUUAAGUCAGGGGUGAAAUCCCGCAGCUCAACUGCGGAACUGCCUUUGAUACUGGGUAUCUUGAGUAUGGAAGAGGUUAGUGGAAUUGCGAGUGUAGAGGUGAAAUUCGUAGAUAUUCGCAGGAACACCAGUGGCGAAGGCGGCUAACUGGUCCAUAACUGACGCUGAGGUGCGAAAGCGUGGGGAGCAAACAGGAUUAGAUACCCCUGUAGUCCCUGUCUCUUAUAU